Molecule: long non-coding RNA, 1109 nt
Organism: Daphnia pulicaria
Lineage: Eukaryota; Metazoa; Arthropoda; Branchiopoda; Diplostraca; Daphniidae
Exons: 3
Source: RefSeq, a predicted model, not a curated record
CCAUUAUGCCUUCCGGAAAAGUAUCAAAACGUCAAAGUUGCCCAAUACGCCUCGUUUACAACAGACUCACCUGAAUAGCUUAUGAGUAUAAUCGACGUAAAUGAAAUAGCGACCUGGUUCUGCAACAGUCUUUCCACGCUCGUCGACACAGUAUUUGGGGAUAUCGAUACGAAAUCUCCAAAAAUCUCCUCUAAAACCUCAGUUAGCCCCAAAACCCAGCAGCGGCCGAAUCAUUCAUGGGUCAAAACUCUGGAUUAGAUUCUUCUACGGACGUUCCGCCUACCGAGGAGUAAAACGCUGAGCCAUGUAGGCCUACGGCUCAUUGAAUCGUUCCCGCUGUGGUGACACAGGCAGCUUGGAAUCCGGUGACGCCAAAAUUAAGCCACGUCAUUCUAGCAGAUUCUAGUAGUGCCAGCGACUAUUAUCGCAGCGGCAGCACUGGAAGUUCGGUUACUUUUAAGUCCACACAAGACGGAAUCUAUUGGUCGCCGUUCCGGUGCUCUUCGAUACAGUCAAGCACCGACCGUCAAAUCUGGAGGAGUUAGUUACAGCCUUUCUAAACUGCCCUCACCCGGUGCUUCCCUAUCACCCGCUUCACCUAUCCGAGGAGUAUUUGAUUUCAACAAUGUGGAUCCUUUUGGGUUUACAUACUGCCGUAAUGUCAUACUGAAUCUCUAAGAUAUUAAAGCCAUAUUCAGAAAAAGUUCUUUGUUGCUGUUUAAUUUUUGUACAUGGAGAAUAUGCCAAGGUCCAUUUUUGCUGCCAUGUGUUCUGUAUACUGUUAAACUGAACUGAAAAAAACCCUUUUUCAGGUUUUUCCCUCACUGAUUUAAAAUCAAUCAGAUUAACCCCUCAGCGUUUUGCCACAUCCAUUGGUGGAAAAUAAAAAUAUACAGAGUUGGAUUAACCCCGAAGCCGGUGCCGGUGUUUUCCUGGAGUCUGUGGUGCUUCACUGACGAGUUAGGCCCCUUCAGUGGUCGCUUCCGUCCGCUGUGACACACCUGUAUUCACUCACCUCGGGAUAAUGACCAGGUACCUGUUAAUUUACUUAGUUUCGUAGAUUUUCUACGAAUUCUACGAAUUAAAUCAACCUACUUGAUUCAAACUCU